UACGUAGGGGGGCAAGCGUUUGUCCGGAAUCAUUGGGCGUAAAGAGCGUGUAGGCGGCUCGGUAAGUCCGCUGUGAAAGUCCAGGGCUCAACCCUGGAAUGCCGGUGGAAACUGUCGAAGCUAGAGUCCCGGAAGAGGCGAAGUGGAAUUCCUGGUGUAGCGGUGAAAUGCGCAGAUAUCAGGAGGAAUACCAAUGGCGAAGGCAGCUCGCUGGGACGGUACUGACGCUGAGACGCGAAAGCGUGGGGAGCAAACAGGAUUGAGAU
This 266-nucleotide ribosomal RNA is filed under the name uncultured bacterium. RNAcentral's name for it is "partial 16S ribosomal RNA". It matches the Rfam family "Bacterial small subunit ribosomal RNA", at positions 524 to 783 of the family's 1533-position model. The record is from RNAcentral.